AGGGGACCUGUCACUCAGGCCUCUGCAGCAUCCCUGUACUCACCAUUGUACUAUGUUUCUAUGAUUAGGCUUGCUGAGUGUGCUUUCAUCCAUCCAUAUUGAGGAACAGGAGCUGUACUUCCUCAUAAGCUGACAGUAGAAGAAAUUGUCACAGAGAAAGUUUUCCAGUAGAACAGGGGAGCACAAGACAGAGGAAACAAAAGCAUCUCGGACAGUGAGGACACACGCACAGAGCCCUGUGGAAGACAGACUUCAAGGAGCUGUUCCAGGGAAACUGAAGCAGCAGGCCUAAGGACAAGCCUGUCCCUCUAAGGUCUGAAACACCCACUGAGAUGCUGGCCAGAACUGUGGAGCUUUUAAGGAAAGUGAACACGAAGACCAGAAGACGCAGGGGGAAGCAAGUGAGAAAAACAGUGCAUAACAUGGAACAUGGGCCCCACCUGCACGGACCACAGAACACAAGAGAUUCAGAAAAAC
This 477-nucleotide long non-coding RNA is filed under the name Cavia porcellus (domestic guinea pig). Its description in RNAcentral is "lncRNA (ENSCPOG00000038531.1)". Lineage: Eukaryota; Metazoa; Chordata; Mammalia; Rodentia; Caviidae. The record is from RNAcentral.